RNAcentral lists this ribosomal RNA (253 nucleotides) under uncultured Anaeromyxobacter sp. RNAcentral describes it as "partial 16S ribosomal RNA". It matches the Rfam family "Bacterial small subunit ribosomal RNA", at positions 524 to 776 of the family's 1533-position model. Lineage: Bacteria; Pseudomonadati; Myxococcota; Myxococcia; Myxococcales; Anaeromyxobacteraceae. The record is from RNAcentral.
UACAGAGGGUGCAAGCGUUGUUCGGAAUUAUUGGGCGUAAAGCGCGUGUAGGCGGCUUCGUAAGUCGGAUGUGAAAGCCCUCGGCUUAACCGAGGAAGUGCGUUCGAAACUGCGAGACUUGAGUACCGGAGAGGGUGGCGGAAUUUCCGGUGUAGAGGUGAAAUUCGUAGAUAUCGGGAGGAACACCAGCGGCGAAGGCGGCCACCUGGACGGAUACUGACGCUGAGACGCGAAAGCGUGGGGAGCAAACCGG